UGCAGAUACGGAGGUCAGGAAUUCUACUGGUUUAACUAAAUUUCAUUCGACAAGACAAAGUAAAAAAACUCUUUCAAUUAUGUCGAAUGUUUUUAGUGGAAAAUCAGUCGGAUUUCUCACCUUCAAAUCUGCAUC
Brachypodium distachyon (stiff brome) is the source of this 135-nucleotide non-coding RNA. The record is from Rfam. NCBI's taxonomy places the organism in Eukaryota, Viridiplantae, Streptophyta, Magnoliopsida, Poales, Poaceae.